RNAcentral lists this ribosomal RNA (484 nucleotides) under uncultured bacterium. RNAcentral's name for it is "partial 16S ribosomal RNA". It matches the Rfam family "Bacterial small subunit ribosomal RNA", at positions 30 to 507 of the family's 1533-position model. The record is from RNAcentral.
AUUGAACGCUGGCGGCAGGCCUAACACAUGCAAGUCGAGCGGAUGAAGGGAGCUUGCUCCUGGAUUCAGCGGUGGACGGGUGUGUAAUGCCUAGGAAUAUGCUUGGUAGUGGGGGAUAACGUCCGGAAACGGGCGCUACUACUGCAUACGUCCUGAGGGAGAAAGAGGGGGAUCUUUGGACCUCUCGCUAUCAGAUGAGCCUAGGUCGGAUUAGCUAGUUGGUGGGGUAAAGGCCUACCAAGGCGACGAUCCGUAACUGGUCUGAGAGGAGGAUCAGUCACACUGGAACUGAGACACGGUCCAGACUCCUACGGGAGGCAGCAGUGGGGAAUAUUGGACAAUGGGCGAAAGCCUGAUCCAGCCAUGCCGCGUGUGUGAAGAAGGUCUUCGGAUUGUAAAGCACUUUAAGUUGGGAGGAAGGGCAGUAAGUUAAUACCUUGCUGUUUUGACGUUACCAACAGAAUAAGCACCGGCUAACUUCGUG